GAAUUUUGAGUCAAAUAGAACCUAUUUUGAAAACAUUUUUAAAAAAAAGUUGUUUUUGUAGCAUAACUAGGAAUGUCACAUUUUUGACUGAUAUUAUGACUGUCUGUUUGUUUCAUAUUUGCAUAUAUGUCAAUUCCACUUUAACCGUUUUAAAUGUCAACUUCAGUAGGGUUAGGUCAGAGUUCGGACAUCCCAAGGACCCAGAUGAGAUUUUGCCGUACACCCCCACAACAUGGAAUCUUGGUUACUAGGUAACGGUAAACUGUACAUGGGAAGUGUCCAAUCAGAGAACAGACCGGGGCCUGCUUGCAAACUUCUGUGUUGACAAAUAUUUUGAUAAUUUUCUAUUUAGCUAGUUAACGUUAUAUUACCUACUUUGGGAUGGAGUUUUGAUAUGGCUUCUUUACAAAAUGCUGACCCGGCGUUGAGGGAAUAUAUACUGAAGCAUUCCUUGCCCCAAAUAUUUCAGGCAUUAUUAACAGGUUUAUGUGUGUCGUGUCCUGAAAGUCCAUUACAUUUUCUGGAAAGGAAGAUUGUGUCUAUUCAGGAAAACCGGGACACUGCUGAGAUUGAUUGGUGAGUAACCUGUUACAGUAUCCUACUUCUGAAUGGUCUAUAUAAAAUGGUUGUGACCUACAAAUU
RNAcentral lists this long non-coding RNA (642 nucleotides) under Oncorhynchus kisutch (coho salmon). RNAcentral describes it as "lncRNA (ENSOKIG00005037000.1)". Lineage: Eukaryota; Metazoa; Chordata; Actinopteri; Salmoniformes; Salmonidae. The record is from RNAcentral.